RNAcentral lists this ribosomal RNA (412 nucleotides) under uncultured microorganism. RNAcentral's name for it is "bacterial SSU rRNA". It matches the Rfam family "Bacterial small subunit ribosomal RNA", at positions 9 to 417 of the family's 1533-position model. The record is from RNAcentral.
GAGUUUGAUCGUGGCUCAGAUUGAACGCUGGCGGCAUGCCUUACACAUGCAAGUCGAACGGCAGCAUGAUCUAGCUUGCUAGAUUGAUGGCGAGUGGCGAACGGGUGAGUAAUACAUCGGAACGUGCCCUGUAGUGGGGGAUAACUAGUCGAAAGAUUAGCUAAUACCGCAUACGACCUGAGGGUGAAAGUGGGGGACCGCAAGGCCUCAUGCUAUAGGAGCGGCCGAUGUCUGAUUAGCUAGUUGGUGGGGUAAAGGCCCACCAAGGCGACGAUCAGUAGCUGGUCUGAGAGGACGAUCAGCCACACUGGGACUGAGACACGGCCCAGACUCCUACGGGAGGCAGCAGUGGGGAAUUUUGGACAAUGGGCGAAAGCCUGAUCCAGCAAUGCCGCGUGUGUGAAGAAGGCCU